Molecule: small nucleolar RNA, 83 nt
Filed under: Pteropus vampyrus (large flying fox)
Lineage: Eukaryota; Metazoa; Chordata; Mammalia; Chiroptera; Pteropodidae
Description: Small nucleolar RNA SNORD113/SNORD114 family (ENSPVAG00000029401.1)
Source: RNAcentral
UGGGCCAAUGAUGACUCCUGGAGUGGGGGCUGGGUCUGAAUCCAAAACCGUGAUUAACCCCUGCCUGGAAAUCUGGGGACUGU